CCUACGGGUGGCUGCAGUGGGGAAUAUUGCGCAAUGGGCGCAAGCCUGAUGCAGCCAUGCCGCGUGUGUGAAGAAGGCCUUCGGGUUGUAAAGCACUUUCAGCGGGGAGGAAGGCGGUGAGGUUAAUAACCUCAUCGAUUGACGUUACCCGCAGAAGAAGCACCGGCUAACUCCGUGGCCAGCAGCCGCGGUAAUACGGAGGGUGCAAGCGUUAAUCGGAAUUACUGGGCGUAAAGCGCACGCAGGCGGUCUGUCAAGUCGGAUGUGAAAUCCCCGGGCUCAACCUGGGAACUGCAUUCGAAACUGGCAGGCUAGAGUCUUGUAGAGGGGGGUAGAAUUCCAGGUGUAGCGGUGAAAUGCGUAGAGAUCUGGAGGAAUACCGGUGGCGAAGGCGGCCCCCUGGACAAAGACUGACGCUCAGGUGCGAAAGCGUGGGGAGCAAACAGGAUUAGAUACCCCGGUAGUC
Molecule: ribosomal RNA, 466 nt
Filed under: uncultured Klebsiella sp.
Lineage: Bacteria; Pseudomonadati; Pseudomonadota; Gammaproteobacteria; Enterobacterales; Enterobacteriaceae
Description: bacterial SSU rRNA
Rfam family: Bacterial small subunit ribosomal RNA
Source: RNAcentral